RNAcentral lists this ribosomal RNA (253 nucleotides) under uncultured bacterium. RNAcentral describes it as "partial 16S ribosomal RNA". It matches the Rfam family "Bacterial small subunit ribosomal RNA", at positions 524 to 776 of the family's 1533-position model. The record is from RNAcentral.
UACGUAGGGUGCGAGCGUUAAUCGGAAUUACUGGGCGUAAAGCGCACGUAGGCGGCUUUGUAAGUUAGAGGUGAAAGCCCAGGGCUUAACCCUGGAAUUGCCUUUAAGACUGCAUCGCUAGAAUCGUGGAGAGGUGAGUGGAAUUCCGAGUGUAGAGGUGAAAUUCGUAGAUAUUCGGAAGAACACCAGUGGCGAAGGCGACUCACUGGACACGUAUUGACGCUGAGGUGCGAAAGCGUGGGGAGCAAACAGG